This is a long non-coding RNA of Leucoraja erinaceus (little skate), 946 nucleotides long. RefSeq lists it as uncharacterized. The transcript has 2 exons. NCBI's taxonomy places the organism in Eukaryota, Metazoa, Chordata, Chondrichthyes, Rajiformes, Rajidae. The record is from RefSeq and is a predicted model, not a curated record.
CGCCUUAGCAACCGCUCCGGGUGGCGGCCGAGUCCGAGUCCGCUCCCCGGACGAACAGGAGGCGAGGGAACGUUCCAGGACGGGACCAAAGAUUAUCAUAAGUGGUGCUCAAGAAGGAACUGCAGACGCUGGAAAAUCGAAGGUACACAAAAAUGCUGGAGAAACUCAGCGGGUGCAGCAGCAUCUAUGGAGCGAAGGAAAUGGGUAACGUUUCGGGCCAAAACCCUUCUUCAGACAAGUGCUAUUGUGUUAUCUUUUGUAGUUGUAUCAAGGCAACGGAUCCAACAAUAGCCUGGUCUAAAGGUACUCAUACCAACUUCUCAAGGGCAGUUAAUCAUGGAUAAUGAUAGCUUGUCUUAACAGCAAUACUCAAAUCUGAAAGAAUAAAAGACACAGAAGCAAAACAAGUACAUUGAAGAGUCAAAAGACGCCAGAAAGGAGAAAAAGAAAAUAAUAAUGCUGGACAGAGUAAAGUGAGAAAUACACUUCAAAUCCACAAAUAGUGCAAUUGCAUAAUAAUUGUAAAAACAUCCAAAUAAUACCACCCAAUAGACAGGCAAGAGACAAUUAAAAAAAAAAAGAGAUUGAAUUACAUAGUUGGACAAAAUUCCAACUGAAGUGGUGGAACCACCGCACAGAAAGAAUGGUCUCCUUUUGUGCUGAAAUUUUCACUGUAAUAUCACACAUCUUAGAACAAGAACCUACUUUUGGUCUCUCCUGUACAUUUUGAAAUAAACAGAACAAUAUUGUGCAAACAAGAUUUAUUAAGUAAAUAUCAAAAGGAAAAAUUGGACUCCUGUACAACUAGAAAUAGUGGAAGAUUUGUAAAAUCAGCCAAUAAGUUCUGUUUUCUUUCACACAACUGAUAUGGUUCUUCAUAAGCCACUCCUGACUCACUGCUGCUUUGUAGCCAUCACCUUCAGCCAGGCCACUGGAGAACAAGAAA